RNAcentral lists this ribosomal RNA (279 nucleotides) under uncultured bacterium. RNAcentral's name for it is "partial 16S ribosomal RNA". It matches the Rfam family "Bacterial small subunit ribosomal RNA", at positions 506 to 784 of the family's 1533-position model. The record is from RNAcentral.
UGCCAGCCGCCGCGGUAACACGGGGGGCGCAAGCGUUAUUCGGAAUUAUUGGGCGUAAAGGGCGCGUAGGCGGUCUUGUCGGUCAGAUGUGAAAGCCCAGGGCUCAACCCUGGACGUGCAUUUGAAACAGCAAGACUUGAAUACUGGAGAGGAAAGCGGAAUUCCUGGUGUAGAGGUGAAAUUCGUAGAUAUCAGGAGGAACACCGAUGGCGAAGGCAGCUUUCUGGACAGAUAUUGACGCUGAGGCGCGAAGGCGUGGGUAGCGAACGGGAUUAGAUA